GACAGAGGCCCCGAGCGUUAGGCGGAAUCACUGGGCUUAAAGCGUGUGUAGGCGGGCCCGUAAGUGUCUUGUGAAAUCCCACGGCUCAACCGUGGAACUGCUGGGCAUACUGCGGGUCUUGGGCCAACUAGGGGCAGCCGGAACAAGCGGUGGAGCGGUGAAAUGCGUAGAUAUCGAGAGGAACACCUGCGGCGAAGGCGGGUUGCUGGGCUGAUACUGACGCUGAGGCGCGAAAGCCAGGGGAGCGAACGGG
This 253-nucleotide ribosomal RNA is filed under the name uncultured bacterium. RNAcentral describes it as "partial 16S ribosomal RNA". It matches the Rfam family "Bacterial small subunit ribosomal RNA", at positions 524 to 776 of the family's 1533-position model. The record is from RNAcentral.